AGCCCGGACCCUCCUCCCCACGCCCGCCACCCGCCGGGCUGCGGCGGCGACAGCAGAUUCCGCGUUCGGCACCCGAGCGCCGCUCUCGCUCCCCAGCCCCUCAGCUCCGCGUUCCCUUGCCGGCUCACAAUGUGUUGACCCUCCCGGCCCCGCCGCGCUCCCUCAGGAAGUGACAGACUCCAGGCCCCUUCCUCCGCCCCGUCCCCCCGGACUGAACGCCACACGCGUAUUCACACCCUCUCCCCCUCUCACACCAGGGCUAGCAACGCGACCAUGAAGCCCCGGAGGUUCUUCAGAAGAUGAUGAGGUCAUUCAACCAGGUUUCAUCAGCCCCAGAGUGAAUCCUUUGACAUGGAGAUGAUGCUCUAAUAAGUAUCAUGAAAAAGAAGAUUCUGAAAAGUUGCUACAAUAUUUUAAUUUACCAACUAGUUUCUGAUUACUAUAGAUUGUGUUUUUUCUGUGGGGGCAA
Molecule: long non-coding RNA, 469 nt
Organism: Rhinolophus ferrumequinum (greater horseshoe bat)
Lineage: Eukaryota; Metazoa; Chordata; Mammalia; Chiroptera; Rhinolophidae
Exons: 3
Source: RefSeq, a predicted model, not a curated record